Molecule: ribosomal RNA, 253 nt
Filed under: uncultured bacterium
Lineage: Bacteria
Description: partial 16S ribosomal RNA
Rfam family: Archaeal small subunit ribosomal RNA
Source: RNAcentral
UACCAGCACCCCGAGUGGUCGGGACGCUUAUUGGGCCUAAAGCAUCCGUAGCCGGUUCUACAAGUCUUCCGUUAAAUCCACCUGCUUAACAGAUGGGCUGCGGAGGAUACUAUAGAGCUAGGAGGCGGGAGAGGCAAGCGGUACUCAGUGGGUAGGGGUAAAAUCCGUUGAUCCAUUGAAGACCACCAGUGGCGAAGGCGGCUUGCCAGAACGCACUCGACGGUGAGGGAUGAAAGCUGGGGGAGCAAACCGG